This 576-nucleotide long non-coding RNA is filed under the name Nicotiana benthamiana. RNAcentral's name for it is "long non-coding RNA (NBEN_LNC031521)". Lineage: Eukaryota; Viridiplantae; Streptophyta; Magnoliopsida; Solanales; Solanaceae. The record is from RNAcentral.
CUCUAUUACUUUCUUCUUCUUUUCUCCGUUCUCUCUGUUCCUUCAAUGGCUAUGCCUCUCUUAACAAAGACCUUAGCCAAUAUUUGCCCACAAGCCCACAUGACAAUAUCCGCCCAUUAUCUGCAUGAUCCUUUUUUCGAAACAUAUUCUAAUGGGAAGGCCAUUACGCCUAAUCCUUGCUAUGGUCGUGCCAAGUCUGAUGUUAAAGAGUCGACCACUAACACUAAUCAAGUUGAGUAUCCAUUUAACUAAGUCAAAAUGAUUGGACUGAUACAUUCACUUUGUCGUAGAAUAAUAGCCUCCUCAAGGAAAAGUCUGAGCCAAAAGUAGUUAAUAGUGAUAGAGGCGCGCAUUUAAUUAUUAGUUUUAUGCACUUUCAAAUUAAUUACUCAGUAGUAGUUUUACGGAACUUGUUUGAUUACAAAAUGACCCCACAGGUCAUUCGAACUGAAAAAGAAAAAAAAAAACAUGUUGUCUAAUUUUUCAGUCAACUUUAACAUAAAGUAUACAAUCAUUGAUUUUACAUUUUCCUUUGAUUGACUUAAUUAAAUGUGACUAUAUAUACUUUUGUUCAAG